CCGAGUUCGGGCCUUCGGGUCCGCCCUCCAACCCUCUGUGAACACAACUUGUUGCUUCGGGGGCGACCCUGCCGUUUGCGCGGCGAGCGCCCCCGGAGGCCUCCAAACACUGCAUCUCUGCGUCGGAGUUUAAGUAAAUUAAACA
This 145-nucleotide unclassified non-coding RNA is filed under the name uncultured Septoria. RNAcentral's name for it is "sequence contains ITS1". The record is from RNAcentral. Lineage: Eukaryota; Fungi; Ascomycota; Dothideomycetes; Mycosphaerellales; Mycosphaerellaceae.